AGAAAGACGUAGGAUCCAGCCAGGAUCGAGUCAGGAGGCAGAAACCACACCAGGAAUUUGAACAAGGAAAAUUCAAUAUAAAGAACAGCUAGCUACUACGUGGAGGCUAACUGUUAAGAGAGGUAAGUGGAACCCUAAAGGAUACAGAAAUAAGGGAUAAAGGGAGCAGCAGCUACCUCCAGAGAUGACAGAAGAACCCACGGAAGGAUAAACUUGGAAAAGGCGCUCCCUCCCCGCCAAAGCUGAUGCUCGCAACUCAUUGGUAGGGGCGUGGUGGGGGCUUGCUGGAUGGCAGAGAGGUUUGCUGAGGUGCUGCAAGCUGGGGUUGGCAAGCAGGAGACUGUGCUGGGUGAUGACAAAAUCUGACUGGAAGCCGCCCACUGGCAGCUGUGCUGUACGAGCCACAAGAAAAGCGCUGCAGCGGGGAAGGCCCUGCAGUGUUCCUCCCGCCCCCUCCCCGGGGAGGCCAAAGCAUGGCUCUGGCUGGCCGGGUCACAGAGCAGCGCAGAGUCGGUGUACGGAGAGCAGACCAGCACCAACAGCUGGCAUACACCCCAGCGUCGUUCUCAUAAUUAAAUAAGUUUUAACAGGGACUCGUUCCUAUUUACGUAUUUAUGCACUUAGAGCAGAGCGGUACCAAGCGGGCUGUGGUGAGGGCAGCCCUGUACUCCUGGUUGCCCGUGGAUCCACUGUGACGAACAGCGCCCCCUUUCGCUCGCAAACACGUCCCUGUUCGGAGGACACAGUACGUGGUCACACUAACUCUUGACAUCAUUUUCUAUCCAAAUCCUCCCACCCAUAGUAGCUAGAAACACAACAACACACAGGUCUGCUUGAAGGCAGGCCAGGUUUUGGGGGGCCAAGAUUUGGGGAGAAGAGAAGUGCACUGAGACGAGCGAGGCAGCCUGAGCUGCUUCCUUCUUGAAGCGUUGGCCGGUUCGUAGGUGGGAGAAAGUAAGGGGCUGAAAAGCUGAGCUGAAAGCAGUAGUUCUCAAGAGCAACAUAUAAUUUUAAAAAUGUAUGUCGGAGUCUGUCUAAAAGAGCUCUUUUAACAAGUAUAGAAUAAAACGUCUGACAUGAAAGCUCACUUUUAAAAUGCUGCACAAAAUAAUGAUACAUUUUACAGGUUAGAGCAACUUAGAGUUGAUGAAAUACCAUAUAUUUGUUCACACAUAUGAAUGUCUCUAUAGGAGAUUCCUAGAAGUGGAACUGUUGGGUCAAAUGACAUAUAUUCGAUAGAUUCUGCUAAACUGUCUUCAAAACAAAACUGAACAAAACUGAACAAUGUCCAUUUCCUCACACGAUUCCCUACAUUGGGUGCGGCCGAUCUUUAAAAAUUUUUUCUCUUCUGACAGGCUCUCACCGUGUCUAUAUUUAAGCUUCAAUUCAGAGUGAAGGGAGUCUGUGUUUCCCCAAAUUAUCAUCAAGCUCCAUGUAGAAUUGCUUCAAAUCUGCAUCACCCUUUCCUAGAGCUUUCUCCUCCGAAGGGAAAAACAGAGGGUCCUUUCUGGUGAGGGUCAUGGACUCUUCGGAUAGGAAGGGAUCUUAGACGCUGCCACAUCCUAGGGGUUCUGAAAGCUGUUCGAGAUGGUCCUCACUGUUACAGGGGCAGAGGAUCUUUUCACUUACUGCUUAGAAGAAGAAUAAUUAAAAUAGUUCUUCAGACAACCUCUUGCCCCAUGAACAUGGAUCACUCUGGGAGCCUCUGAAUGCCUGUUGCCCAGCACCUGCAGUGGUCCUUGAACACCAGAGGUGUGCAUACGACUCAGUUGCAGAGGUGGGUCCCAGGUGUGCGUUUUGACUCCUCUACAGUGACUUUUUAAAAUCAUAUACUCCUUCAUGUAUAAUCAAAAUGGAACAUUGGCUAAAAAUAGGCAAUAUAAAAAUUUUGCUGAAAUAAAGUAAAAGAAGACCAUAAAUUGAAAAUUCUACAAAUUUGGCUCAAGAUGAUCUUCAUUCACUAGAUGUGCAAAUUGCCUUCGGCUGAUCAAAAUGUUUAUCUUCUAUGUCAGAAACAAAAAUCAAAAAGAGAAAAUAUAGUGAUCAUUAUAUCCGAUUUGGCCUUUUAUUAUUAGGAAUAAAGACUAGCCAUACCCACUUCAUGUUAUUUGCAGAAUGGCACUUGCAUAAAGCAUCCAGAACCCUUCUGUUUUAGCUCAUAAUUUAGACACAAAACCAUGAAAGUAGUAAAAAUAAACCAUUUUAAAGUGCAAAAAGCAUAAAUUCUAAACAUUCAUUUAGGAAAGCAGUUUGUGUCUAUUUUUCAUGCUACAAUGAGUCAUUAAAUUUCAUACAUUUUAAUAUACAUUUGUUUUACGACCAAUAUGAUACAAGUUCUUUUAAAAGCCAUUUGUUAGCAAAGCAUGCUUUUCCUUGACAUAAUUAAUUAAAGGGAAAUUAAACAUUUUGCAUUGCACGGUAAAUGGAAAAAGGUUAAGACAAGUCUUAUACUAUGUAUAUUAUUCAAGAUUAUUCUAACAUUAGACAUAUAUCUAAAAGUUUUAUUUUAAAAACCACUUCAUUACAAAUUAAUAAAUGAUUAAAUAGUUGCAGGGUGUUGUCAAGUGUAUACAUGGUAAAAGAAAUUCUCCAGUCAGGAUAAGCUAAAAAGUUCUUAUCUGGUGUAGACCCCUCAGUUUAUAAAUCAGGCAACUUAUGCCCAGAAAGAGUAAGAGACUUACUUAAGAUCACACAGCCAGGAGGGCCACAGCUCAGACUCUUAGUUCAUUUCUAUUCAGGGUUAGAAUAUAUGAGGUUAAGUGAUUUGAAGUUCUCAGGAAACUUACUGGUUCUUGCUGAAAAAUUUCUCUGGUAGCAGAGGGUCUGACACUGCCCUCUCUAGGUUCGGCGUUGCCCCCACUAGUUUCCUCUUUAGAACCCCAAUUUCCUUGGAAUAGACUAUUUUAGCUCCCAAAGGCUGUGUCAAGUGCUGCCUUUCCCUCACCUUUAUAGCCUGUUUCAUAUUUUGGGAGGCACUUAUUUCAAAGGCUGACUCUCUGCUGCCUUUGAUUUGCCCUGGACUUGACAAUGCAUGCUCCAAGAAGCCCUACUCCCGGGAGUUCCCUUGUGGUGCAGGGGGUUGAGGACCUGGCAUUGUCACUGCAGUGGCUUGGGUCGCUCAUGUGCUGUGGGUUUGAUCCCUGGCCUAGAGGAAAAACAAAAGACUAAUCCUGGCAUGUUGUAAUAGUUCUGCAUCCCACCACCUGCCUCCUGGGAUCUUGCAGGGGUGCUGACCACUUCUUUUCUGAGCUCCUGCUCUGGAUGUGCAUCUCUCAUAGUUUACAAAACCAUCGGGAGAGGCUUACCUGUCUCUGGGUGUAUAACCCAGUCGCACAUGGCAUGGAACUUCCUAAAACACACCACCUUCAGGAGGCCUCUACCUUACAGAGAACCUAUGCCUGUCUCCUCAUCAUCUGCCCAAUCACUCUAAUCCCUUCUGAAUUUCAAGGCUUUCUACAAUCCCACUGCUCUGCACUCAUCACCCUAACACAACCUGUUAAGGUGCGCAAGUCACCAUAAAGGUGAUUAUGCAUCAUCUUUGUUCUGCCCUCAUCAUCUGCUUAUGCUGGUUCCAAAAAACAUAGUGUUCUGUUGUUGGCUCUUCUGGCUCUCCCAGGAAAGCAGAGGUCACCAAGCAGGGUGACCAGCAUACCAACAGAGGCCCAAGAGACAAUCCUGGCAACCCCAGAGGAAGAGAGAGAGGGGAUGGUGGUUACUUUGUGGAGGUGGUUGCAGCUACCCUCCCUGAGGGAUGCGGGUUGGCAGCAGAAUUAUCAAAUGGGGACAGUAGGCACAGCACCUAGGCUCUGCAAAAAUGUUUGCAUUAAAAAAAUUUUUUUUGAAAUCAGAAAAAAAAAAAAAAGUAACAAGAGAUCCAAGCUGGAUUAUAGUUGUCUUUGUUUUGCAGUUGUAAACAUUUAAAACAUUUUUUUUUUUCUUUUUGAUGGAGGAAGCGGCCCACAAGGACAAAAGUGCCUAGGGUACUGGACAGUCAUAAUUGGGCCCUGGGUACAGUGUUUACCCUUUCUGGUUUUUAAAAAAGGAAUGUAUUUCCACAUAUUUGCAUGGGACCUCUUGAUUUUAAAUGCUAGUAGCUCGCUUUAAAAUUAAACAAAACAUGCACACUGUGGCCCAACAAAACAUGUGGAGCUUAGCCUGCAACCUGAGGAAGGCUUGGGCUAUCAUCGUGUUCCUGGAAUGCCCAUGGCUUGACACGAUUUCAAGGACACGUCUUCAGCCUGAGUGCCCCAAGCACCCUGCUCAGGAUGGAAGAAAGGGUAGCAGAAAGCUUUUGGGGCAGGACAAGGACAUGAUGGCUGACCGCCUGCCGCUCCCAGGCCGCCCCACCCGCUGGCGCGGGCUUCGCUCAUUCUGGGUUUUCCCGCUCCCGCCGACUUUCCCGCGCGGCGCGGAAGAGGGGAGGGGAUCCCCCAGCUCACGGGUCAUGCGAGGGUGCGGGGCAGGGGCGGCCGCCCCGGGCAUCUGCGGUCUCUGAAGCCGAGGCCUCCCCGCUCGGUCCCACCCCUCGCAACAAGGCCCACCGCCGGCCUCCGCCUGGCUCCUGGGCUAGGUCCGCUGCUCGCGGGGUCCGCUCUCGGAGGAAAAGUUCCACACGGAGGAUGCGGCGCUGGUUUCAGCCUGCAGCGUCCGAGGCUCCUCCUCCCGCGCUGCCGAGGGAGGCGGGCUGCGCUCUUUUCCGGGCCCUGCCACACAAUGUUGCCUUCAGGGAGGGAGACCUUCGCAGCCUUUCUGCAUUCCCUCCCUCCGCCCGGGGGUGUGGGGCCGGAAGCUGCGGCGUCUCGGGUCGGGGUUUGCUCCCGCCGAGCCUUGAGCCGUUGGUGCGCAUGCUCUGUGGAGGCCCGCACAGGCCCUGAGUGAACUCUGAUAGAGCCUUCGCAAGGCGGGGUAAGCGGAGCUCCAGUGGCGCAAUCGGUUAGCGCGCGGUACUUAUACGGCAGUACAUGCAGAGCGAUGCCGAGGUUGUGAGUUCGAGCCUCACCUGGAGCACGACCCUUUUGUAUACCCGCAUCUCGCUUUUAUCUCCUUGCUUAAGGAAUCUCGUCAGUCUUUUCUUUAGCUUCCUCAGUUCCUGUCUCUGACUCGCUGCCUACCAGUCCUGCUUCUAGGCAGACAGGAAGCUUUGGCGCUUCUUACUCUCUUUCCAAGCUACUUGUUGUCGCCGCUCACCACCUAGCCGCUGGAACCAGACAUUUGCAUCCUGCUCCCUCGUCCUAGGCAUGUCCUUUAACGGCCCCCAACUCUUGGUCCCGGUACCGGUGAUGCAGACAGGAGGUCCCGGGGCGCUGCACCGGUGCUGGGGUCCUCCCUGGGCCUCGGUCACUGAAGAUCCCAGGCGCCCUCUCUAUGGGUCGUGCCUGAGCUCCCGGCUCAGGUUCCCGGCCGCUGCCCGAGCCGGACCACCUCUCCGGGGAGCUGGAGCCCGAGGCCCAGAGCAGGGGCUCAAGGCGAGCGGUCGCUCUCCUCGCUUUUAACUACUACUAACUCGUCAUGGCCCCCUCCCUCCGACGUGCAGAGCCGCUAGACCGCAGGCUCUUCUCCCCUAUCCAGGCCCCAGGCCUCCAAGGCUCCCUGGGCGGACUUGCAGAGCUUGGGAAAAGUGCCUGGGCCGCUCCCUCCCCCUCCCCUGCGCCCCUUCUCCCGCGUGUCAGUCAGGAGUGGUGGAAUUUGCUGGCAGACCGGAGAACAGACGUUUUCUAGGGAUAUCCGAGCGGCGGGUGUCCUCUCAUGCUUGCCACCGUCCCAGGUUCAGAAGUCCUCCCGGGGAGCAGGAAAUCGGCCAGCACGCGAACACUCCUCGGAGGCGCGGGGGCUGCUUUGCCAAGGGGUGGGUGGGUACUCCACAUUCCCAGGAGGCAGGGCCAAGUAGGGAACAAGCUUAGUGGGGAUGAGAGGCCUCCUGGACGCGUUCUCCGGCAAGAGUGGUUUCAGCUGUUUUUUUGGACGUGCUAGUAGUUAACUCAUGGGAUAGAAAUACUACCGGGAGUGGUGAGAAACAAGACCUAGAAAGCUCAGAGAAAAGCAGAUGGAGAGUGGAGCUCUUGUCUGUCUUCUCGGCUCCUAACGGCAGCCCCAGAUUCGCAAUGAAGAGCCCCACGCCACAUGAAAUGUGAGCAAGUCCACCCACCUCAUCUACCCUGGCGGCCAGUUCCUCGUUGGACCAGAUCCCUUCUAUCAUAAGCUCCUCCUCAGCACAUGGUUAUUACUGGAAUGCUGGUGGUUUGGGCAACUCUUUUUCUGGUGAGAUGGUGCAGUGGGAAGGGACAUUGACUAUUUGAAGAGCAAACAACCAAGAUAAAAUCUUAAAAGCAGGCAGAGAGAAAAGAUACAGAAGACUCACACUGACUUCUCAAGUGAAACAAUGGAAGCCAAAAGACAAUAAAGUAAUAUCUUCAAAGCCCUGAAAGAGAAUAACUACGAGUGGAAGUCUAUGCAAGCACAGAUAUCCUUCCAAAAUAAAGAGGAAAUAAAUACACUUUUAGAAAAACAACGCUUGAGAAAUCUCAUCACCAGCUGACCUGCACAAAAGGAAAUCCUAAAGGGUGUUCUUCAGGCAGAAGGAAAAUAAACUCAAAUGUAAUCUGGGAGAUGCAGGAAGGAAUGAAGAACAAUAGAAAAGGUACAUCCCACUUCCAGCGGGUUGUCCCUCGGUGCUGGCUUGGCUUCUUGGGAAAAGAGUGAAGAAUCAGAGCCUACACGCUGCUGCUGAGCUCCACAGCCUCCAUCUUGCCUCCUCCUGUUUAGACGAUGCGGGUCCUAGUUCUGGGAAGCCCUUCCACCGGCAGAUCGCAGAGCCUCUCUGAACUUCAGGCUCCUCAUCUAUAAAAUGGACCUCCCAAGGUGGUGGUUUAGUGCUGUCAGGGACAUGUUGGCAGGAGGACCGUGUGAGCUGUUGUAUCCACAGUAGCCUGGAAAGGGUGAGGGCAAAGGGCUGGGGGACCGGUCAGAAGGCACCUACCACAAUCCAGGUAGGAGGUGACAGUGCUGCAGCCAGGCUGCACGGCGAAGGAUGGGAGGGGCCCCCGGAGAAACCUGAAUCAGGUACCACAGUAACGGGGAACGUGGAGGAGGGCGUGAUUCACUCCAAGGCCGCUUUCCCAGGGGAUGUGACUCAGGCAGGAUUUUGAAAAAUGAGCAGUUCAGCAGGCACUCAAGAGGGUGAGAACAUUCCAACACCGGUGUGCCGGGGCCCCAUUGAGAGGGAGCCAGGCCUGUUUGGGGACCUAUGAAGCAGCAUCACAUCAGAGCAGAAGGGUCAGGGGAGGCCAGAUGGGGAAGGAGCUCGCCGCUCUGCCAAGGGUGUUGUCCUCUGGGCGCCAGGGAGUUCAGGAAGAAUUUUAAGCCUGGGGGCCGGUGGUGCUUAAGACCUAAAACUUGCUAUUAAGAAAAGUCCCGUGGUCACCAUGAACGGCCUGGGGGGAGGUGGCAGGGAAAACCCAGAGGGGAAGCAGAAAAUGAGGGCUGACCCGGGGCAGUGGGAGAGAGGGAAGGAGGCAUGAGAACCGUUUAGGGAGAAGAGAGGAUCAGGGCCGUGUGGGUUUGGGGAAAGAGGAGCAGGCUGUUUUGAGGAAGAGAAUGAGUCAUGUGGGGGCCGGCUGAAUUGGAGGAUCCGCUGGGGGAUCAGACAGCCAAGCCCCAGAGCAGCCAAUGUUGGAGUCUGGAGCUCAGCGGAGGGGACUUGGGUCCAGAAGCCUCAAGGGACAGGUGGCAUUUAAGCUGUGGAAGGCCACCAGCUAAAAGGCAUCUCCAGAUUUUUACCUUUAGUAAGAUCUGAAUAGAGGUAUAUUUCCCUCCUCUUUGCCUCUUUCCCAAGGCCUUUGAGAGAUACAGUGAGAAAAACAUUCUUGAGGGUAAAGAGGAGGGAUCCAGGAGGGGAUCCUCCUAGGGCAGCACGGAGGAAUCCCUGGGCUGGUCCCACUUCACCCCACGGUGUCUGCGGGCAGAGGGGCCUGGAUAGGCAGGGCUCUUGGUAUCCAUUGUCCGUGGGUCUCUGCAUGCAGAUAUGUAAAGUUAUGUGUUUUCAUCUCCCCGUGAUUCCUGUUUUCCUGCAGCCCUUCCCGCUGAGGCGUAUGGCCCAAUGAAGUUGGAGGGGUGAAUUCGAAGCAAGACCUCAAGCAGGGGGUGAAGCGGACAUGAUGUAGAGAAGCUGCUGCUGAUGGCAAUGGGACCAGAAAAGGGGGGCCUAAGGAAGAGAGAACAUGAGAAGCAAAAAGGGCAGCCCCUUAACCUUCAACCUCAGAGGCUCGUGUGGGAGAAACCCAGUCAGGUCUGAGGGGAGAUCUCACAGCAAGGGGGUGGGUGGGACUUGACUCAGAUUGCAGUGGGGAGAAAUUUUAAUGACACCCCCUCCCUAGCAAACCAGCGAUGCAAGAUGGUGCCAGCACAAUAUGGUGCCAAUCAGGAGGUGGUUUGGAAUGGCUGAGGAAGGGAGUCUGGGAAGUGGCUUCAUGCAACGCUGCUCGUUCUAGUGAGAAUGCAGCCAGGUAGUCCUAGGUCCCAGGGGCCGCAGAGCCAAGAUCUGCCUCACCAGCUAUGUGCAGGGACCAUGCACUUUGGCUUCACCUCUUCCUGCCCCUACCCCACCAGCAAGCCCCAGGGACCAGAACCAUCUCUGUCCUGCGUGUGUGUGUGUGUGUGUGUGUGUGUGUGUGUGUGUAAGAAUGCAGGGGACUCCACUCAGACCUUCAACCCUCUUGUCCCACCACCGUGAGGCCCAUGAACAUCUCUCUGCACCAGGAAAUUAUCUUGGCUGGGAGAAGGCGGAAGGGUGAGAAAACCUUGGAAUACUGAGCAAUUUUACUCAAAAGAGACUGAGUUAAUCAUACAGAAAUGGAGCUAUGUCUAAGGGGCAAUUUAAUGCUUUCUUUUUGUUUGUUUUCUUUUUGCCCGUCAGUAGUAGGAAUUAUCAGAUCACGAUGAGAAGAGUAUAAGAAAAAGUAAGAACAAUACUGAUUUGACCCAUCUGGGUAGGUGUGUGUGUGUGAUCUUUAGCCCUCCCACAAUUAUGUCUGUACACGUUUGCUGGGGCAACUGUAUAUUUUCAAUUCCAAUCGUCAGACCUUUCCUUGAAGCUCACGUGUGUUUUGAUCUGGCCAGGAAUUGAGAAUCAUAAAAUCAUUAAAUCUGUAUUAAUUACCUAUUGCUGCAUAGUAAGUUAAUCCAAAAUUUAGCUGAAAUAAAUAUGUAUUAUCUCACA
This is a non-coding RNA of Sus scrofa (pig), 9214 nucleotides long. Lineage: Eukaryota; Metazoa; Chordata; Mammalia; Artiodactyla; Suidae. The record is from RefSeq and is a predicted model, not a curated record.